RNAcentral lists this ribosomal RNA (331 nucleotides) under uncultured bacterium. RNAcentral describes it as "bacterial SSU rRNA". It matches the Rfam family "Bacterial small subunit ribosomal RNA", at positions 373 to 710 of the family's 1533-position model. The record is from RNAcentral.
GGGCGCAAGNCCUGAUGCAGCGACGCCGCGUGAGGGAUGGAGGCCUUCGGGUUGUAAACCUCUUUUGUUAGGGAGCAAGGCACUUUGUGUUGAGUGUACCUUUCGAAUAAGCACCGGCUAACUACGUGCCAGCAGCCGCGGUAAUACGUAGGGUGCAAGCGUUAUCCGGAAUUAUUGGGCGUAAAGGGCUCGUAGGCGGUUCGUCGCGUCCGGUGUGAAAGUCCAUCGCUUAACGGUGGAUCCGCGCCGGGUACGGGCGGGCUUGAGUGCGGUAGGGGAGACUGGAAUUCCCGGUGUAACGGUGGAAUGUGUAGAUAUCGGGAAGAACACC